GCGGCGGAGGGGCGCGGAAGCUCUAGGGAUGCCCGAGGGAGGUGGGGCCAGCAGAGGAGACGGGGCAGGGAAGUCGCGGAGAGUGUGGGGGUCGAGGGGACGCACCGACAAGACCGUCUCAUCCAGGCUCGCCCACCACCCGUAUUCCACCACCUCCCACCGGUAUUCCAUGCCCGCCGCUUCUUCCCGGCUGACCUCAGUGCAGCUAUCCGGCCUACCUCAGUCUGGAUCCCUUCAGGCUGGCACUUAUUAAGGAAGGGAGCACUCGGCUGGAGAAAGAGAAAUGGGUCGGCGCCUUGAGCACUAGGAGAAAAGCCGCCUGAGUCCCGACUGCGCGGACCAAUGAGGCGGCCUUCCUGCGUCAGCGCGGAUACACGCUGCCCAAUUAGAGGAAGCGUGUCCUGGCGGCCAAGGGAGAAGCUACGGGUCCUACUUGGGGACAAACAUCUCGACAAUAAUAAUACGCUUCUAUUUUUAUUUUUGUUUUAAUUUGAACGAAAGGCCACACUAGAUAUGCCCAGCUUUGAGCAGUAAGAACAAUUUCGUUACCUUUGAAGUUUCCGAAAACAUUCCACAUGUAUUUUUUUUUAAUUGAUUCUUCACAUCACGUCUAUUAAGACAGAAGACAGACUUGGACAUUAAUUUGCCCAAGAACACAUAGCCCUUUUGGAUUAAAAAAAGAAGAAGAAGAAGAAGAAAAAAAAAAAGCCAAGUCCAGGACAACUAAACGCAAAGUGAAAUCCUGGAUUGGACCGUGGAACAGAAAAAGGACGUGAAUGGGACAACUGACGAAAUUUGAACAAGGUGUAUCAAGUAAUAAUAUUAUUGUAUCAAUAGUUUUGAUUUUGAUAAUUGUACUACGGUUAUGUAAGAUGUUAACUUUAAGGGAUUCUGGGUGAAGAACAUAGGGGUACUCUAUACUAUUUUUGCAACUUUUUGGAAACCUAAAAUAAUUUUAAAUUCUGAGCCCUUAUUGAGAUGUCCAGUACAUAACACGAAGUAGCUCAUGGAAAGCUUUCUGUAAAUUGAAUCAUUCGAAAUAUACUAAAACAAUACACCCUUCAAAAUAGCCACAGGCCCAGCACAUGUGGUUCCUUGAUGAUCUUGCAACCUCUGUCUGGACUAGCAAUAAUUUUCCUGUGACCCUCUCAACAUGGAAAUCAGUGUCCUGAAGGCCUCCUGUCUGCACUGGCGCCAGUUCCCUCCGCAGGCUCCUCUGCAGCUUGCCUGUGUUCCAGAGACUUGCUUUCUGCUUGCCAGCAACCAGUCCCAGCCUGGGUAAACCAGCAAACUUCUCUGCUGCCCAGUGGGCUGAACUUCAGCUUCUCCAAUGAGGCGUGAAUGCAACCUGGCCCCCACCCCCUGCUUGGUCCCAGGUUCUUCCUGCUUGCUGCUUGGAUGAGCCAAGCUAGCAUAUUGAUUGUAAGCUGCUCUACAGAGAGGGUCAAGUGGCAGAAAACUGAGGGCAACCUUCAGCCAAUGAAAACCUGAGGCCGUCAUUCCAACAGUUCAGGAGGAAGUGAAUCCUGCCAAUAAUAAGGGGAGUGAGCUUGGAAGCACACCCUUCACCAGGAGAGCCACGAGAUGACUGCAGAGCCAGCUAAUGCCUAGGUUGUGAGAGACCCAGAGCAGAGGACUCCUCUAAGUCACACGCAGAUUCCUGACCUACAGAAACCGUGAAACAAUGUUAUUGUGUUAAGCCGCUAAAUUGAGGGUACUUUGUUAUGUGAUAAUAGGUAACUAAUAUAAGAGUUAUUCCAAUUUUCCUUUCCAUCCUGUAUCUGUUUUGGUAAAUUGUAUUUUGAAGGAAUUUGUCCAUUUUUAAGUUAAGACCAUAUAGUCGAAGUUAUCCAUUUCCUUCAGAGGUUGACCAAGUACACUAAUUUAUCUGCCCAAACAAUACUUCAGAAACAAAAAACAAUGUCCACACAAAGACAUGUACACAAAUGUUCAUAGCAGCUUUAUUUGUUAAUAGUCAAAAAAUCUAAACAACCCAAAUGUUCUUCAAUGGGUGAAUGUUUAAACAAAAUGUGGUAUGUCCAUACCAUGGUAUACUACUCAGCAAUAAAAAGGAAUGAACUACUAAUACAUGCAACAAUUUGGAUGGAUCUCAAGGGAAUUAUGCUGAGUGAAAAAAAGCCGAUCUCAAAAGGUUACAGUCUGCAUAAUUUCACUUAUAUAACAUUCACAUAAUGACAAAAUUACAGAGAUGGAGAAGAAAUCAGUGGUUGCCAGGGGCUAGGGAUAGGAAAAUGGGGGUAAGGGAGGGGAAUGGACAUGAAUAUAAAGGGGUAGCACAAGGGAUCAUUGAGGUGAUGGAACAAUUAUCUUUUUUUUUCAGUUCUGUUAUCUUGAGAGUUGUAGUGGUUCCACAAAUCUACAUGUGAUAAAAACUGAACAGAACUACACACACACACACGAAUGCAUGUGAAAGCGAGUGAAAUCUGAAUAAGUUCUGUAGAUUGUUACUAAUGUCAAUUUCCUGGCUUUGAUAUUAUAGUGUAGUUAUGUAAGAUACUACCAUUGGGGGAACUGUAUGAGGGUACAUGGGUCCUCUAUUAUUUUUGCAAAUUCCUGUGAAUCUAUAAUUAUUUCAGAAGAUAAAGUAAAACAAAACAGAACAAAAACAACUUCAGUUGAUCUCAUCCAGUCUCUUGGGUUAAAACAUCUAUUUUAAAUAGCACUCCCCAGACCCUCCCCCCCCCCCCCCCCAUUACUCUGCACCUAAUUCUGAGUUGACUUUUGAGUGAAGACCUGAAGAAUGUGAGAGAUCUAGUGAUGAAGAUUCUUACAGGGGUCGGGAAGCCUCCUACCCUUACAGAACAGCAAGGGUAAAGGCCCUAUGAUGGAGCAUGCCUGGCUGGCCCGGUGAAGAACUCAGUGGCCAGUGCAGCUGGAGCAUAGUGUACAAAGUAUCAAAGAAAAGACUUUGGCUUUCACCCUGAGUGAGAUGAGAAGCAUUUGGAGGGUUUUGAGCACAAGAGUGAAGUGAUCAAACUGACAUUUUAAGAGGAUCUCUGUAGCUGCUGUGGUGAGAAUAAACUGAAGGGAGGCAAGGGCAGCAGCAGGGAGAACAGGAAGCCAUCACAGUUCAGGUGAAAGAUAAUUGUGGCUUGGACCUCAGUGGUGAAGUCGUCAAAUUCUGAAUAUUUAUUUUGAAGGCAGAGCUGACAGGACUUGCUGCUGGACUAGGAAGAGUAGUCAAGGGGGAAAUAACUGAAAUGGGGAAGACUGGAGGUACAGUUUGGGGAUUCAGAUUUGGACAUGUUAUGUCUGAAAUGUUUAUUAGAGAUCCAAAUGAAGAUGUUCGGCAGACUGCCCUAUCUAAAACGGCCCACAGUACUUAGAACUACAAUGUAAGUUUCAUGAAGUUAGGGACUAAUUCACUACUGUAUCUCCAACGCCCAGUACGCAGUAGAUUCUCAAAUGUGUAUUUGUUGAAUGAGUCUCUGUAAACUACCUAGGCCUGAACAUUUGAUGAUGGAUGUUAUUGAAUGCACCUGGGCUAAGACAGGCCCCAAACCCAUUUUCAUUCUUUAUGGAAGUGGUUCCCAAACUUUUCUGCACAUUGGCAGCACCUGGGGAGCUUCAAAUGUACUGAUGCCUUGAUCCCACCUCCUGAGAGUGUGUUUUAAUUGGUCUGGGGUGUGAUCUGGGUUUUGGGAUUUUUUUAAAAGCUCCCUAGGUGAUUGCCAUGUGCAGGUAAGUUUGGAACCACUGCACUACUGAGUUUUCAAUUAUAAAAAAUCUUUGUUAAAGUGCAUGAUCAUUAUUACUCCAAUAGGUGUCAAUUAUAAAGAAAAUAAAAAUCUUCCUGGGAUUUCAUUUCCUUCAGUUAAGUUUCCUCUCCUUUGCCUGGAUCAACUAUCCAUGGUUCUUCCUCUUCUUCCUGAUCUCAAUGAUCAUGCCAGGGCUUAUACAAGAUCACCCGUUUCACAAAUA
Long non-coding RNA from Balaenoptera ricei (Rice's whale), 3942 nucleotides. RefSeq lists it as uncharacterized. The transcript has 3 exons. Lineage: Eukaryota; Metazoa; Chordata; Mammalia; Artiodactyla; Balaenopteridae. The record is from RefSeq and is a predicted model, not a curated record.